Molecule: ribosomal RNA, 141 nt
Filed under: uncultured eukaryote
Lineage: Eukaryota
Description: partial 18S ribosomal RNA
Rfam family: Eukaryotic small subunit ribosomal RNA
Source: RNAcentral
UGGCGGAGUGAUUUGUCUGGUUAAUUCCGUUAACGAACGAGACCCCCGCCUGCUAAAUAGCGACGCGUAUGCAUGCAUACGUGGGCCGCUUCUUAGAGGGACUUUCGGUGACUAACCGAAGGAAGUUGGGGGCGAAUAACA